UAUAUAUUUGAAUUUAAUGAACAGGUAAUAUCAGUACAGUUCCUGUGUUUAUCAUCACUACAUUAAAUUGCACUACAAUUAUGUGAUGCCAGUGUUAAUUCAUUUGUUUGUCAGAAACAAAUUCAGUUGACUGGUUAAUUUUUUUUUGCACAAAAGGUACAUUAAUACAUAAUAACAAAUAAUUGAUACAUAAUAAUAAAAACGACUACAUCAUUGUUUCUUACACACCAAUCCAAUGUUACAAAGGUAAUGUAAUUAUCUGGAUGAUUCAAACAACUUCAGUUAUAUGGAUGAUUAAAGCAGCUUCAGUUACUUAUUUUCUCUAAGUAAAGUGAAACAAAACUUGAAUUUCAGAUGAACUUGACAUUCAAUAAAGGAAUGUAUCCUACAUUCAUUUCAUGCAUUACACACUUAAUGUAGCAGUUGUUUUUAUAACACAGUACAUGUCAGGCAUUUUAUGCUUAAGAGCAUAUUCGUUUGACCAUCAUAGCUUAAGCUGGUGAACUACAAACCGAUAGAGAAAGAUAGAGAAAGAAUUCAGAAGAGAUGGGAAUGAUUAUGUUUGAUUUCAGAAUGGGCAGUAUCCUAAUCUUUGUAAGAACGAUUAUGAUUAAGAAAUUGGUUUUACUUAAUUCAAGCAUAUAUUGUCAAUUUCAAUGCAGUUUUUAUCUUCUAACAAUCACAAUUCAGUGGUGGGCUGCUAGAUUUAUUGCAGUAGGUUCGAAUAACAAAGAAGUUUUAUGGAGAUUCUUCAGGGGCUCAAAUUGGAAUCCAUGGGGGAAAGUAAAACCCUUUUUGAGGAACACUACUAAGAAAAAUUAGAGAACCAGCAUUUGAAGCUGACUGCAUAACGAUUCUUUUGCCGCCAACUUACUUUUCAUAGUACCACGAAGACCACAUGUGAGAAUUUAGGGCUCCCACAGAGGCACAAAGACAGGAAAGGAAAGGAAAUAGAUAGCACUGAUACAGGGUAUCCUCUGCCAGACACCAUAUGCUGGCUUGUGGAGUAUGUAUAUAGAUACAGAUGUACAAAAUCUUUUCUUUGAUACACAUAAUAUAGUGCACAUUGAAUGAAGCAUCUACUUUUAUAUUUGCAGCUUUUGUGAUUAUCUCUUUACUUAAGUAUUUUUCAUAAAAGAAAAAAAUGCCUUCCUAUCAGUGUCAAUGAUUCCAAUCAAUCUAUCAGCAACAGCUGAAUUGUGACUCCUAAUUCACAUAUUAAAUACUAAACACAGUAUCUGUUAGAAUAAUUCAUGUGUUUCCAUCAAGUAAGGGUGUUUAUUAAUACAGCAGCUGUCUUUUAAAUACUGCCUCACAAAAUACAUACAUGUUAUACAUACCUAGUACUUUUUGUUAUAGCUAUAUAUUAUUUACUAUUACCAUUCAAAAAUUUCCAUUAAUAGACAAAUUCUACUUUGGGGAUACAAGAAAUUGCAUAAUAAAUAUUACACAAAUCAAAUAUGAAACUCUCUCUAAAAUACUGUAUUACACACUUAAAACAUUUUUUGGCACAGGCAUAAUAUGAGCUACUUACCCUAUGUUGGCAUAUGUAUAAAUAUUAUGGCAUUUAUUAGUUUAAGUGUAUGAUGAGUCAUUUAAGUUCCUUAAGUCUACAUUAGUCACAAAAGAAUAACUGCAAUUCUUAGUAAUGCUUGGGUGUGACUUAUUCUAUUUGCUAUAAUAACGUGAUUAAUUCUUAGAGUCUUUCAUUCACUGAAGAUACUUUGUGUAUAGUAACAUAUUUCUAAGAAUAAAUAUAAUUUUAGUUGAAUUAUUUAGUUCUAUAUGGAGCCUGAAUCAUGUAACUCAUGCAUCAGCUAUGAUUACAGGUUUGGUUGAAACACACACAUCAAAUAUUAGAUACAAAGCAUAUUUUGACAUUCAUUUCUAUUAAUUUACAUCCACAAAGUAAAUAUUUUGUCUCAGAAACGCUGAAGUGUGUCAACAGAAAAAUUCUUUGAUUCUUUCAUUCAUGUAAGGUACUACAUACAUAUUAUCAUAUUUCUUAGGGAAUAUGUAAUUUAGGCCUAGAUUUGUCUGUUAUUUUAUUAAUAAAUUCGAGCUUAUUCAGUUGUAGAUUUUAUAUUGAAUGGUGCAGAGUAGAAUUGUCAAUACGCUGGUAUGUAAAUUUAGCUAUAUUACUUCAUUACUACACAGUUUCUACUCUGUUGCUAGACUAAUUCUCUUUGCUAGACUAAUUCUCUUUGCUAGACUAAUUCUCUUUGCUAGACUAAUUCUCUUUACUAGACUAAUUCUCUUUACUAGACACAAAAUCACUCUUACUUUACUCAAGAUGAUUACAUUUUCAAAUUGUACUAAUGCUUAACAUAGUAUUUGUUGAUAUAAACAUGACUUACACUACUUCCCUCAAGGAAAAUCAGUGCAUCAAUAAACAGUUCUUUCUAGCACUACAUCUGAUUAUAUUCUUAGUAUUAUAAGAAAUAGUUUAACUAUGGUUUUGUAUGCACAUAUAAAGCUGAUAUUACCAUUUUUUGCCAUAUUAUAUUUUAAAUUGCCUUACAUUCUAAUUGCAAUGGUAUGUUGUUUAUAGGUAAUUGUAUUUUCCUCAAAGUCCCAGAAAUUUCAUCUGCUCUAUUUAAACAGUUACAUGAUUACUGAUACAUAUAGUAUGUCACACGAUAUUUGAUACUUCAAUUACUUUUCAUUGUUUUCAGUUGAGUCUUUUUACUAUGAGGACUCCCGUUUUCUAAUACAAACCCCCAACACUUCACAUUAUUUUACUAAUAAUAUUUAAAUUAUGAUUUCUUGCAAACAUGUCAAUAGCACAUUUAAAGGAGUACAAAAUUCAGUUCUCUCAUGUAGCGGUGUUUAUUAACAUGGCAGGUGUCUUAUUUGAAGCCUCAAAAACAUAAAUCAAUCAUAUUUAUUAGGGAAAAUUUAAGUUUAGGUCUAGAUUUGCCUGUUAUUUUAUUCAUAAAUUCGAUAUUAAUCACUUGUAGAUUUUAUAUUGAAUGGUGCAAACUGGAUAUGUUAUAAGAUGGAUGUAAAUUUAGUUAAAUUACUUUCUUACUACACAGUUUCUACUCUAUUACUACACUAAUUCUAUUACUAGACUAAUUCUCGUUACUGGACACAAAAUCACUCUUAAUUUACUCAAGAUCAUCAAAUGAUUACAUUUUCAAAUUGAACUGCAGAUUAAAUGCUUAACAUACUAUUUGUUGAUAUAAACAAGACUUACACUACCUCCAUCAAAGAAAAUCGGUGCAUCAAUAAAUAGUUUUUUCUAGCACAAUAUCUGAUUAUAUUCUUAAUAUUAUAUGAAACAGUUUAGCUAUGGUUUUGUAUGCACAUAUAAAGCAGACACUACCAUUUUUGGCCAUAUUAUAUUUGAAAUUGCCUUACAUUCUAAUUGCAAUGAUAUAUAUUUUUAAUGGGUAAUUGUAGUUUCCUCAAAGUCCCAGAAGUGCCAUCUGCUGUACUUAAACAGUUACAUGAUUACUGAUACAUAUAGUACGUCAUACGAUAUUUGAUACUUCAAUUACUUUUCAUUGUUUUCAGUUGAGUCUUUUUACUAUGAGGACUCCCGUUUUCUAAUACAAACCCCCAACACUUCACAUUAUUUUACUAAUAAUAUUUAAAUUAUGAUUUCUUACAAACUUGACAAUAGCAUACAUGAACACAAGAUUUACCGGAAUAAGCAGGUCUCUUACGUAGCAGUGUUUAUUAAUUCAGCAAUUGUCUUGUGUGGCGCUUCAAAAAUAUCUAUCACUUUCCUUCUGACAAUCGACGGUUCGUUUACUAGAGUAUUUUCUAUACAUUCCUAAAUGUUUCACCCACCAUAUUUAAGACUAUUAAUAUGAAACACACAGAUAUAAACUAUUACUCCUUAUUUUUGUACUUAUUCUUAAGAUUACAUUGAAUAAUUUAAGUAUUGUCUUUUAUGUGCGCAUAAAUUUGACAUACUUUGACAUUAUCAUAUCUUCAGUUGCUAUACUAUAUGAAUAAAAAUGUCCUACAUUUCAGUAGUAAUUGUCUCUUCUUUUAACUUGUCGAUGUGUCAGUUAUCUAGUCCUAACUACAAAAGGCAUAAUUCUUACACUCAUAUUAAGCACUAUUCACAUAAUAUAUUUAUUGUGUUAACAGCAUAUCUAAUUUUACAUACCUAACCCUGUAAUUGGCUGCAUUUUUUGGCCUAGUUAAUUAUCUACUAGGAAACAGAGCUUUACAUUUGAAAGAAUGUGUGUGUUAUCCUGCAUAGCCACCUUCAUAUUAGAUUCUCUGUUGACUAAGAUUAUUAACUAAUACCUAACAUAUCUAUCAAAUCUUACACCAAUAAUAUACAGUUUUUGUAGUAACUGUAGUUAAGUUGAGUUUUGUCUGCCAGAGUGUUUUUCAUUCAUAGAUUACCUCAUUUGCUGUCAAUGACACGGAUAUUCUUGUGAUUGUUGUAGUAGAAAAUUAAGAAAUUAUUUCUUUUACACAUUUAAGAUUUAACACUUUGAAGAUGGUACAUGGACCAUAGCUUUUUAAUAAGACAUUUUUUGUUUUACAGAUCAGAAAGUUAUCUGUAGUAGUUUGUAUUCAAUUAUACAUUUCUAAUGGUGUAUAUCUUAUCACACAUGAUCACAAAAGAAAUUGAGAAACAGAACCACAUUAUCAAAAAAUCUGGACUACAUAAAAUAUUUUGUUUUAAAAACCAUGACUGGUUUCGGCCAGUAUAUGAUUAUCCUCAGACCAUUACACACAAGGAGUGUUAGUCCCCAAACCAUUAUAUACAAGGAGUAUGUAAUGGUGUGAGGAUAACCAGAUAUUGGUCAGAACCAGUCACCAUUUUGUAAAAUAAUAUAUUUUGUGUGUUCUAGAUUGUUUUUAUUAUAUUUUUAGUAGUACUCUGUUACCACUGACAUUUCCUAAAACAAUAUUUCAAAGAAUUUUAGAGUCAGAUUAAAUGUUGACUUGUGGAUUAUCACAAACAACUUGCAGUAAGUAUAUUUUUGAGUGACAACAGUCCCCACUAAUCAUUCAUGACAGGAUGUUACCCACAUAUUUUCCUUCUGUUGACCAAAUUUAAGUAGCUGAGAUAACCAAACAUAGCUCAUGGGCUCAGUGAUCGGUUCAUGCCCGCUGGUACCUUUAUAGUCCUUAUAUUUAAAAAUUAGGAUAGGCUUUAUUGGUUGAACUGCUAAAAAAAUGCAUUAUCAGGUAAUCAUACUGAGAAAUAAUCUGUCAUUGAAAUACAUUUCCAAAGUACCAAGUAAGUAGUGUUCUGAUGUCUGGUAACUCCUCACAAAUAACGUCUGCACCUUGCAAUUCAGGGUUGGUGCUCUAAGAUGGUCGUCUAGCAGUGAACUUAAAAGUGAAGAUUUUGAUGUUCUAAUAGAUUCGUUCUUUAAGGAAUUCUACUACUACCGCAUCACUAAGAAAAUUUGCUGUCUCACUGGAAGUGCCUGAAGAAGUGUUAGAUUAAAAGUUUUCCAUCAGCGGGUUGGACGUGGGUCAAAUGAAAGAACAAUGAGUGCUGUCAGGGCGACUCCCUUGCCAGUAGUCCAUUCUAUCUUAAGAAGAUUCUUCAGUAUGAUCUGAGCCCACCAAAAGUUAUUUCACUCAAUAUCACUCAUGGCAGUUCCUUUAUGAUAUCACAGCAGCAGCUGUUACUAUAUGCUGAACAGUUGAGAUGUUCCAGCAAAUGUUAA
This is a long non-coding RNA of Schistocerca cancellata (South American locust), 5654 nucleotides long. RefSeq lists it as uncharacterized. The record is from RefSeq and is a predicted model, not a curated record. The transcript is spliced from 2 exons. Lineage: Eukaryota; Metazoa; Arthropoda; Insecta; Orthoptera; Acrididae.